UGCAAGUCGAACGAUGAAGCCGCUUCGGUGGUGGAUUAGUGGCGAACGGGUGAGUAACACGUGGGCAAUCUGCCCUGCACUCUGGGACAAGCCCUGGAAACGGGGUCUAAUACCGGAUAUGAUCACCGGCCGCAUGGUCUGGUGGUGGAAAGCUCCGGCGGUGCAGGAUGAGCCCGCGGCCUAUCAGCUUGUUGGUGGGGUGAUGGCCUACCAAGGCGACGACGGGUAGCCGGCCUGAGAGGGCGACCGGCCACACUGGGACUGAGACACGGCCCAGACUCCUACGGGAGGCAGCAGUGGGGAAUAUUGCACAAUGGGCGCAAGCCUGAUGCAGCGACGCCGCGUGAGGGAUGACGGCCUUCGGGUUGUAAACCUCUUUCAGCAGGGAAGAAGCGCAAGUGACGGUACCUGCAGAAGAAGCACCGGCUAACUACGUGCCAGCAGCCGCGGUAAUACGUAGGGUGCGAGCGUUGUCCGGAAUUAUUGGGCGUAAAGAGCUCGUAGGCGGCCUGUCGCGUCGGAUGUGAAAGCCCGGGGCUUAACCCCGGGUCUGCAUUCGAUACGGGCAGGCUAGAGUUCGGUAGGGGAGAUCGGAAUUCCUGGUGUAGCGGUGAAAUGCGCAGAUAUCAGGAGGAACACCGGUGGCGAAGGCGGAUCUCUGGGCCGAUACUGACGCUGAGGAGCGAAAGCGUGGGGAGCGAACAGGAUUAGAUACCCUGGUAGUCCACGCCGUAAACGUUGGGAACUAGGUGUGGGCGACAUUCCACGUCGUCCGUGCC
RNAcentral lists this ribosomal RNA (779 nucleotides) under Streptomyces sp. RNAcentral's name for it is "bacterial SSU rRNA". It matches the Rfam family "Bacterial small subunit ribosomal RNA", at positions 56 to 847 of the family's 1533-position model. Lineage: Bacteria; Bacillati; Actinomycetota; Actinomycetes; Kitasatosporales; Streptomycetaceae. The record is from RNAcentral.